GGACCACAUGUAUGGCUGUAAUUGCAAACAUCUGCCCACCCACCCACGGAACACUUUAGUCUCAGGAUGAAGUUUAUGAAAAGCCACCUCAAGGAAGGACUAGGAUCCAUGAGAGGCCGCGG
Molecule: long non-coding RNA, 122 nt
Filed under: Cricetulus griseus (Chinese hamster)
Lineage: Eukaryota; Metazoa; Chordata; Mammalia; Rodentia; Cricetidae
Description: lncRNA (ENSCGRG00000024775.1)
Source: RNAcentral